UAGCUCUGGUUUCUCUUAAGUCACAUAUACGUCUUUUGUAUUUUACUAAAGAUUUCUGUAGAGAGGUACAUCAGUGAGUUUGAAGUAUUUUUAUGAGCUUUGGCAAAGCU
This is a small nuclear RNA of Hemibagrus wyckioides, 110 nucleotides long. RefSeq annotates it as U5 spliceosomal RNA. The transcript has a single exon. The record is from RefSeq and is a predicted model, not a curated record. NCBI's taxonomy places the organism in Eukaryota, Metazoa, Chordata, Actinopteri, Siluriformes, Bagridae.